AGAGUUUGAUCAUGGCUCAGAUUGAACGCUGGCGGCAUGCUUAAUACAUGCAAGUCGAACGGUAACAGGUCCUUCGGGAUGCUGACGAGUGGCGGACGGGUGAGUAAUGCAUAGGAAUCUGCCCAGUAGUAGGGGACAACCUGAGGAAACUCAGGCUAAUACCGUAUAAGUCCUACGGGAGAAAGGGGGCCUCUUCUUGAAAGCUCUCGCUAUUGGAUGAGCCUAUGUCGGAUUAGCUUGUUGGUGGGGUAACGGCCUACCAAGGCGACGAUCCGUAGCUGGUCUGAGAGGACGAUCAGCCACACUGGGACUGAGACACGGCCCAGACUCCUACGGGAGGCAGCAGUAGGGAAUAUUGGACAAUGGGCGAAAGCCUGAUCCAGCAAUGCCGCGUGUGUGAAGAAGGCCUGCGGGUUGUAAAGCACUUUCAGUUGGGAAGAAAAUCUUUAGGUUAAUAUCCUAAAGUCUUGACGUUACCAACAGAAGAAGCACCGGCUAACUCUGUGCCAGCAGCCGCGGUAAUACAGAGGGUGCGAGCGUUAAUCGGAGUUACUGGGGCGUAAAGCGUGCGUAGGCGGGUUAAGUCAGUCGGAUGUGAAAGCCCAAGGCUUAACCUUGGAACGGCAUUCGAUACUGCUUAGCUAGAGUACAGUAGAGGGAAGC
Molecule: ribosomal RNA, 663 nt
Filed under: uncultured bacterium
Lineage: Bacteria
Description: bacterial SSU rRNA
Rfam family: Bacterial small subunit ribosomal RNA
Source: RNAcentral